CCUACGGGUGGCAGCAGUGGGGAAUUUUGGACAAUGGGGGCAACCCUGAUCCAGCCAUGCCGCGUGAGUGAAGAAGGCCUUCGGGUUGUAAAGCUCUUUUGUCAGGGAAGAAAUGGUCUGGGCUAAUACCCUGGGCAGAUGACGGUACCUGAAGAAUAAGCACCGGCUAACUACGUGCCAGCAGCCGCGGUAAUACGUAGGGUGCGAGCGUUAAUCGGAAUUACUGGGCGUAAAGCGUGCGCAGGCGGUUUUGUAAGUCAGAUGUGAAAUCCCCGGGCUCAACCUGGGAACUGCAUUUGAGACUGCAAGGCUAGAGUGUAGCAGAGGGGGGUAGAAUUCCACGUGUAGCAGUGAAAUGCGUAGAGAUGUGGAGGAAUACCGAUGGCGAAGGCAGCCCCCUGGGCUACUACUGACGCUCAUGCACGAAAGCGUGGGGAGCAAACAGGAUUAGAUACCCCUGUAGUC
RNAcentral lists this ribosomal RNA (465 nucleotides) under uncultured Propionivibrio sp. RNAcentral's name for it is "bacterial SSU rRNA". It matches the Rfam family "Bacterial small subunit ribosomal RNA", at positions 338 to 795 of the family's 1533-position model. Lineage: Bacteria; Pseudomonadati; Pseudomonadota; Betaproteobacteria; Rhodocyclales; Rhodocyclaceae. The record is from RNAcentral.